GCAUUGGAUAGCUCAGUUGGUUAGAGUGUGGUGCUGUUAACGCCACGGUUGCAGGCUCAGUCCUCGUAUGGGACAGCUGCA
This is a non-coding RNA of Podarcis lilfordi (Lilford's wall lizard), 81 nucleotides long. The record is from the annotation of a GenBank genome assembly. NCBI's taxonomy places the organism in Eukaryota, Metazoa, Chordata, Lepidosauria, Squamata, Lacertidae.